UACGAAGGGGCUAGCGUUGCUCGGAAUCACUGGGCGUAAAGGGUGCGUAGGCGGGUCUUUAAGUCAGGGUGAAAUCCUGGAGCUCAACUCCAGAACUGCCUUUGAUACUGAAGAUCUUGAGUUCGGGAGAGGUGAGUGGAACUGCGAGUGUAGAGGUGAAAUUCGUAGAUAUUCGCAAGAACACCAGUGGCGAAGGCGGCUCACUGGCCCGAUACUGACGCUGAGGCACGAAAGCGUGGGGAGCAAACAGG
This 251-nucleotide ribosomal RNA is filed under the name uncultured bacterium. Its description in RNAcentral is "partial 16S ribosomal RNA". It matches the Rfam family "Bacterial small subunit ribosomal RNA", at positions 524 to 776 of the family's 1533-position model. The record is from RNAcentral.